UGGGGAACAUUGCACAAUGGGCGAAAGCCUGAUGCAGCAACGCCGCGUGAGGGACGACGGCCUUCGGGUUGUAAACCUCUUUAGCAAGGAAGAAGCGAAAGUGACGGUACUUGCAGAAAAAGCGCCGGCUAACUACGUGCCAGCAGCCGCGGUAAUACGUAGGGCGCAAGCGUUAUCCGGAAUUAUUGGGCGUAAAGAGCUCGUAGGCGGUUUGUCGCGUCUGCUGUGAAAACCCGAGGCUCAACCUCGGGCCUGCAGUGGGUACGGGCAGACUAGAGUGCGGUAGGGGAGAUUGGAACUCCUGGUGUAGCGGUGGAAUGCGCAGAUAUCAGGAAGAACACCGAUGGCGAAGGCAGAUCUCUGGGCCGUAACUGACGCUGAGGAGCGAAACGGGUGGGGAGCAAACAGGCUUAGAUACCCUGGUAGUCCACCCGUAAACGUUGGGAACUAGUUGUGGGGUCCAUUCCACGGAUUCCGUGACGCAGCUAACGCAUUAAGUUCCCCGCCUGGGGAGUACGGCCGCAAGGCU
Molecule: ribosomal RNA, 529 nt
Filed under: uncultured bacterium
Lineage: Bacteria
Description: partial 16S ribosomal RNA
Rfam family: Bacterial small subunit ribosomal RNA
Source: RNAcentral